RNAcentral lists this long non-coding RNA (2100 nucleotides) under Homo sapiens (human). RNAcentral describes it as "non-protein coding lnc-MRPL57-5:4". Lineage: Eukaryota; Metazoa; Chordata; Mammalia; Primates; Hominidae. The record is from RNAcentral.
GGAAACGCAGAGCGCGCGCUCCAGGUAAAGGCUGCUACGCCCAGGACAGGGUUCUCACGGUGGAGGAAAGGACUUCUGCGGGAUACCACGCUGUGCGCCAAAAAGCCGGGCGGCUUCGGAGCCAGAGCAGCGGCUCUGCGGCGCAGGCGGCGGGUCGGGGCAGCCUUGAAGCCGGGAUCCGGCCCGAAGGGGUCUUUUUGGAGUUCCUGAGCUCAGUGCCCCAGAAGGCACAUACUUCAUAUGAAAUAUGAAGGAUUUCAUACUGCACAAGAAAAAGCCUUGAGAAAGACAGAAUUGCUUGUGGACCGUGCGUGUUCCACCCCACCUGGGCCCCAGACCGUGCUGAUCCUUGAUGAGCUCUCGGAUUCCUUGUGCAGAGUGACCGACUUGUUUCGAAAUGACCAGGCUGGCAGUUGGCUGAGCCAGUCUCUUAGAACCCUUUGAAGCACUGGAUGCAGGCUGAUGAGCUGCCAUAAACGUCUUUGAGUCCCAACACUGCUCAGGAACUGCAUAUCAUACCAAAGUCUGCCUGUGUGAUCCUUUAAUUUGUGAAUGUAAAAACUGAGGUGGGAGGCAAAUACUGAUGUUCUCAAAGACCCGUCUCAGCUAUUCCAUUCAAACAGAGCCCAGAAUCUUCAAAAUUCUGCUUCUUCAGCUUACCUCCUGUCUCAGGCUGGUUCCCCAGAAGCAUCCCAGAGAUGCAGAUUUGUGAGAAAGUGAUGUGUUGGGCAGUGUCCCCUGCAGGGAAGUGAGGAUGCAAGACAGUGAGAAGGAAGCCAAGCAAGAGUGCAAUGUCAAGCAAGGUCCCGUGCUUGCAGGGCACUGGCUCCUCCCACAGAGGAGAUUUGGAGACUGAGAGCCCCUCCCUCCAUUGGUCAAGGGCCAUCUCAGAGGGAUGCAUGUUUCUAGGUAUCCCCCACUCUCUCUGCACACAGGUAAAGGAGACUCCAGAAGCAUGAGGGCAGCCCUCUCACAAAGAAGCAUGGGUUCUGGAUACCGAGAGUAAAAGCAAACGUGGAGCCAAGGGGUGUGAAAAUGGGAAAGGGACCCAAGGAAAUAGAGUAGUGCAUCCACCAUGAGUAAGUGCCACAGUCACUGGGUCAGCACCUGCUGUGUCCAACACCAUGCUAAGUAUCGUGGAGAGGAGAGAAGUUACUAGACUUCCCUGCUGUCAUCCUUAAUGGACUAUUGUCUCUUCCCUAGACACCUCAAACUGGGAUUUAAGGUACAUAAGCUCUCAGAAAUGGCUUCCUGGAAUUAUGGCCAUGAACAUCAGUGAACUGUUAGGGUCCGUAGUUACAUCUGGAAAAUGACUGCCGUUUCAAUACACAGGAUUAGUUACAAUAACAGCAACAGCCAUAAUAAUAAUGUGGCAGAGACUAGCUUGAUGCUCAUCACAUCUCUACCUGGGCACAUAGCAAAGUUUUCUAUUCCAGCUCCCACCCUGGAUCUCGGGUCCUAGUUCUCAACAACGAAAUGCUUCCAAGCCAAGUUAAAGCAGCCACAACUUUCAAACGAAAACCUAAAGAUCCUGUGUUGAAGACAGUGGCACCUUAAAAUGCAAGGGCAGUAUCCUUGAGUCCUCAGGUCACCAGAAAGCCACCCGAUCAGGACCAUCGACACUAGACUCUGUGUUAGUGAGAAACAAACUUGUGUUAAGCCAUCAUGAUUUUAAAGUUGUUAGCAGUCAGCUUGCUCCAAUAGGAUGAACACUAAUAAACAUAGCGGUAACAACCUGCUGGGUAGUAUCAUUAUUCUCACUUUGUUGGUGAGGAACUUGAGGCCCAAAAUGGUCAGAAAGUUAGCAGAUGGCAGAGCUGGUAUUUCAAGUCUAUUUUUUAAUCCCUAUCUUGCACUCCUUGGUCACGUAAACCUUGUGUGAAUAUGUUUGAUGCUUUAAUGGAGCAAAGAGGAGAAUAUUAAAAUACCAGGUUUCUUGGGUGGGAUGUGGAGUGAGGAGGAAGAACACAAAACGGAAAGGCUCCACGCAUCAGAAGCCAAGCUUUGGGCACUCCACAGUUUUGCUAAAGACUUCCCUGUCUGCUCACAUCUGGUCUGUUCCCCAGUAUCCUCACUGUAUUAAAGUUGUUUCUUUGUCAU